This 247-nucleotide ribosomal RNA is filed under the name uncultured bacterium. Its description in RNAcentral is "partial 16S ribosomal RNA". It matches the Rfam family "Bacterial small subunit ribosomal RNA", at positions 523 to 769 of the family's 1533-position model. The record is from RNAcentral.
AUACGGAGGAUCCAGGCGUUAUCCGGAUUUAUUGGGUUUAAAGGGAGCGUAGAUGGAUUUUUAAGUCAGUUGUGAAAGUUCGGGGCUCAACCCCGUAAUUGCAGUUGAUACUGGAUAUCUUGAGUACAGUAGAGGUGGGCGGAAUUCGUGGUGUAGCGGUGAAAUGCUUAGAUAUCACGAAGAACUCCAAUUGCGAAGGCAGCUCACUAGACUGGCACUGACACUGAUGCUCGAAAGUGUGGGUAUC